RNAcentral lists this ribosomal RNA (405 nucleotides) under uncultured bacterium. RNAcentral describes it as "bacterial SSU rRNA". It matches the Rfam family "Bacterial small subunit ribosomal RNA", at positions 355 to 776 of the family's 1533-position model. The record is from RNAcentral.
UGAAGAAUAUUUCGCAAUGGGCGAAAGCCUGACGAAGCGACACCGCGUGAACGAUGAAGGGCGUAAGCUUGUAAAGUUCUUUUCUGGGGGAAGAAAUUCGACGGUACCCCAGGAAUCAGCGACGGCUAACUACGUGCCAGCAGCCGCGGUAAUACGUAGGUCGCAAGCGUUAUCCGGAAUCAUUGGGCGUAAAGCGUACCGAGGUGGUUUUAUAAGUUGAGCGUUAAAGACCCUGGCCCAACCAGGGGACUGUGCUCAAAACUGUAAGACUUGAGUUCUGUAUAGGUAAAUGGAAUUCUGUGUGUAGGGGUAAAAUCCGUUGAUACACAGAAGAACGCCAAAAGCGAAGGCAUUUUACUGGACAGAUACUGACACUCACGUACGAAAGCGUGGGGAGCGAAAAGG